This 1229-nucleotide long non-coding RNA is filed under the name Lactuca sativa (garden lettuce). RNAcentral's name for it is "long non-coding RNA (LSAT_LNC003162)". The record is from RNAcentral. Lineage: Eukaryota; Viridiplantae; Streptophyta; Magnoliopsida; Asterales; Asteraceae.
UUCACGAGGUGAGUCUUCUCACUAUACUGUACCCGGAAGGGUUUUGACUGUGUGACCGGAAGGUCGGAUAUGGUAUGAGACGUAUGUGCUAUAUGUGAAAAGUUAAUUGUUAUAUGCGCUAAGUAUAAUAUGCUUGAUAUGGGCCGGAAGGCAUUAUGUUAUGGGCCGGAAGGCGAAUAUGUUAUGGGCCGGAAGGCGUUGUAAUGUGGACCGUAAGGUUGGCGUGGGUAGGACCGGAAGGUUUACCCAGCAGGGACGGAAGUCCCCUGAGACACAUGGACCGGAAGGUCAGGGCCUGGAAAGGCGUAUGUGCGUAAGUUGUAUUUUGGGGAACUCACUAAGCAUUUAUGCUUACAGUUGUUGUGUAUGUGUUUCAGGUACUAGCGAGGACCGUGGGAAGGCGCCGGCGUGAUCUGUACACACUGAUGGAUGAUUUAUGAUCUUGGGAUUUAUAUGAUUGUAUUAUGACAUGAUACGUUGGAUAUUUAUGCCUUGUUUUGGAUGAAAAUACAUUUUUAGAAAUGAAAAUUUUGUUUUAAAAUUUCCGUUGUUACAAUUUGGUAUCAGAGCCUUGGUUUGAGGGAUUCGGGUACACCUUCGGGCGUAACUGAACUCAAACCGAGGAUUUGAGGAAAACUUUUAAAAACAAAGGCAUAAAAUUUUUAUAAAGGAUUUUGUGGUAAACAAAAAUGAAGCAGUGUGUACGAUCAGCCAGCGCCCGAACGGUAAAGAUCCCCAAAAUACCCUUACAAUGAUGUGUUAAGAGAUAUGAUAUGAUAUGAAUUGUUAUGCAUGCUAGAAGACUAGGUAUUCAUGAUAGGACUAGAGUGGCCUGAUUUGUGAUGCCUUAGUCUAGGGAAGUCUGUUGCUAUGAGAUGCUUUGUGAGCGAGCGGGUGGUUAGUGCAUAACAAGAGUAGAGUACUCAGGAUCCGGGGUUUGGGGAGGAGGACUUGGGAUGAAUGCUGAUGCGGUGUAGUCGGUAGUAUUGGGCCCGUACUACCGAAGACACCGGGUCAGUGGGCGACCCAAGUAAGAAUCCCUGGGUAUCGGAGACUGAGUAGGGUUGCGUUAUCGAGUGCGAUUAUGCUCGAUAGAGUCUCUGAUAGUUCUAUGUUGUAUUUCAGAGGCAUCAUGGUUGGACCACGCCACAGACCGAGUACGAGCAAUGUGAGUGACGAGGAGAUUCGUCAGAUGAUUCAUGAGGAGGGGGCUGCAGCGAUCCGGGCUG